This 402-nucleotide long non-coding RNA is filed under the name Parus major (Great Tit). RNAcentral describes it as "lncRNA (ENSPMJG00000003011.1)". The record is from RNAcentral. Lineage: Eukaryota; Metazoa; Chordata; Aves; Passeriformes; Paridae.
CCACACUUUUCCUGGACUUACUCCAAUAGCUUUGAUCUAGAAACUUAAGAAAUUUGCAAAUGUUUUGUAAUAGGAAAGAGAAAGAUAUUUUACAGAAUGUUUAGGAAAUAUUGCCCAAAAUGAUACAAAUAUUGCCCAAAAUGAACUGUUACACCUAAGGUAGAGUGGAUAUAUGCAAUAGUAAAUACACAGCAAAGCUGAACUAUUUGUGGAGAAAGGAAAUUGCCUGCUUACCUUUGGGUAUGGAAAUCAUAUUAUUGUAGUAUUGUUGCUGUCAGCUUCUCAUUCUGAUGGUGUUUGCUGCUUCUCCUAAACUUAAGUGACUGGAGCAAGCUUCACCAGCCACAGGUCAAAGUCUCUGCAGCAUAACCUGGGGAUUUGCAUCCUGGCUUCCAGCGACCC